Molecule: unclassified non-coding RNA, 207 nt
Filed under: Hevea brasiliensis (rubber tree)
Lineage: Eukaryota; Viridiplantae; Streptophyta; Magnoliopsida; Malpighiales; Euphorbiaceae
Source: RNAcentral
GGGGAUACUAGAGUAAAGCACGCUAAACCAAUAAAACAGCAACACGCUUCCGCGCUCCUUUUCAUUUUCCAUCUAUAAAUACAGAGAUUUGGUUUUUGCUUUAAGCCACAAUGAGUUGAUAGCUUCCGCCGUGUUUUAGGAAAGGCGAAUAAUUUUUUCAAACUCCAACGACUGCGUUUUGAACUUGUGAUCUUCCAUUUCUGCUAA